Molecule: ribosomal RNA, 443 nt
Filed under: uncultured bacterium
Lineage: Bacteria
Description: partial 16S ribosomal RNA
Rfam family: Bacterial small subunit ribosomal RNA
Source: RNAcentral
CCUACGGGUGGCAGCCGUGGGGAAUAUUGGGCAAUGGGCGCAAGCCUGACCCAGCAACGCCGCGUGAAGGAAGAAGGCUUUCGGGUUGUAAACUUCUUUUCUCAGGGACGAAGCAAGUGACGGUACCUGAGGAAUAAGCCACGGCUAACUACGUGCCAGCAGCCGCGGGAAUACGUAGUGGGCAAGCGUUAUCCGGAUUUACUGGGUGUAAAGGGUGUGUAGGCGGGACGGCAAGUCAAAUGUGAAAACCACGGGCGCAACCUGUGGCCUGCAUUUGAAACUGUAGUUCUUGAGUACUGGAGAGGCAGACGGAAUUCCUAGUGUAGCGGUGACAUGCGUAGAUAUUAGGAGGAACACCAGUGGCGAAGGCGGGCUGCUGGACAGCAACUGACGCUGAGGCGCGAAAGCGUGGGGAGCAAACAGGAUUAGAUACCCUGGUAGUC